RNAcentral lists this ribosomal RNA (265 nucleotides) under uncultured Pseudomonas sp. RNAcentral describes it as "partial 16S ribosomal RNA". It matches the Rfam family "Bacterial small subunit ribosomal RNA", at positions 1118 to 1384 of the family's 1533-position model. Lineage: Bacteria; Pseudomonadati; Pseudomonadota; Gammaproteobacteria; Pseudomonadales; Pseudomonadaceae. The record is from RNAcentral.
CCAGCACGUUAUGUGGGCACUCUAAGGAGACUGCCGGUGACAAACCGGAGGAAGUGGGGAUGACGUCAAGUCAUCAUGGCCCUUACGGCCUGGGCUACACACGUGCUACAAUGGUCGGUACAAAGGGUUGCCAAGCCGCGAGGUGGAGCUAAUCCCAUAAAACCGAUCGUAGUCCGGAUCGCAGUCUGCAACUCGACUGCGUGAAGUCGGAAUCGCUAGUAAUCGUGAAUCAGAAUGUCACGGUGAAUACGUUCCCGGGCCUUGU